GACGAACGCUGGCGGCGUGCUUAACACAUGCAAGUCGAACGCUGAAGCUCAGCUUUUGUUGGGUGGAUGAGUGGCGAACGGGUGAGUAACACGUGAGUAACCUGCCCCCUUCUUUGGGAUAACGCCCGGAAACGGGUGCUAAUACUGGAUAUUCACUGGUCUUCGCAUGGGGGUUGGUGGAAAGGGUUUUUCUGGUGGGGGAUGGGCUCGCGGCCUAUCAGCUUGUUGGUGGGGUGAUGGCCUACCAAGGCUUUGACGGGUAGCCGGCCUGAGAGGGUGACCGGUCACAUUGGGACUGAGAUACGGCCCAGACUCCUACGGGAGGCAGCAGUGGGGAAUAUUGCACAAUGGGCGCAAGCCUGAUGCAGCGACGCCGCGUGAGGGAUGGAGGCCUUCGGGUUGUGAACCUCUUUCGCUCAUGGUCAAGCCGCAACAAUGGUUGUGGUGAGGGUAGUGGGUAGAGAAGCGCCGGCUAACUACGUG
This 483-nucleotide ribosomal RNA is filed under the name uncultured bacterium. Its description in RNAcentral is "partial 16S ribosomal RNA". It matches the Rfam family "Bacterial small subunit ribosomal RNA", at positions 28 to 507 of the family's 1533-position model. The record is from RNAcentral.